This 435-nucleotide ribosomal RNA is filed under the name uncultured bacterium. RNAcentral describes it as "partial 16S ribosomal RNA". It matches the Rfam family "Bacterial small subunit ribosomal RNA", at positions 29 to 507 of the family's 1533-position model. The record is from RNAcentral.
AACGAACGCUGGCGGCAUGCCUAACACAUGCAAGUCGAACGAUUGCCUUCGGGUGAUAGUGGCGCACGGGUGCGUAACGCGAGGGAAUCUGCCCUUAGGUUCGGAAUAACAGCUGGAAACGGCUGCUAAUACCGGAUGAUAUCGCGGGAUAAAAGAUUAAUCGCCUGAGGAUGAGCCCGCGUUGGAUUAGGUAGUUGGUGGGGUAAAGGCCUACCAAGCCGACGAUCCAUAGCUGGUCUGAGAGGAUGAUCAGCCACACUGGGACUGAGACACGGCCCAGACUCCUACGGGAGGCAGCAGUGGGGAAUAUUGGACAAUGGGCGCAAGCCUGAUCCAGCAAUGCCGCGUGAGUGAUGAAGGCCCUAGGGUUGUAAAGCUCUUUUACCCGGGAAGAUAAUGACGGUACCGGGAGAAUAAGCCCCGGCUAACUCCGUG